GACGAACGCUGGCGGCGUGCCUAAUACAUGCAAGUCGAGCGCUGAAGGAGGAGCUUGCUUCUCUGGAUGAGUUGCGAACGGGUGAGUAACGCGUAGGUAACCUGCCUGGUAGCGGGGGAUAACUAUUGGAAACGAUAGCUAAUACCGCAUAAGAGUAGAUGUUGCAUGACAUUUGCUUAAAAGGUGCAAUUGCAUCACUACCAGAUGGACCUGCGUUGUAUUAGCUAGUUGGUGGGGUAACGGCUCACCAAGGCGACGAUACAUAGCCGACCUGAGAGGGUGAUCGGCCACACUGGGACUGAGACACGGCCCAGACUCCUACGGGAGGCAGCAGUAGGGAAUCUUCGGCAAGGGACGGAAGUCUGACCGAGAAACGCCGCGUGAGUGAAGAAGGGUGUCGGAUCGUAAAGCUCUGUUGUAAGAGAAGAACGAGUGUGAGAGUGGAAAGUUCACACUGUGACGGUAUCUUACCAGAAAGGGACGGCUAACUACGUG
RNAcentral lists this ribosomal RNA (495 nucleotides) under uncultured bacterium. RNAcentral describes it as "partial 16S ribosomal RNA". It matches the Rfam family "Bacterial small subunit ribosomal RNA", at positions 28 to 507 of the family's 1533-position model. The record is from RNAcentral.